CUCCAUAUAUGCCUUCCACUCUGUCAAAUGGUAGGUAAUGCAAUCAUGGUGUUAAUGACAAAUGUGAUGAUUGGGCUUUAAUUUUGUAUAAGCAUUUUGGUCUUGUAUAUGGAAGUUAUCCUAUAUGUUGACAAAUCCUCUUUUCCUAGUUCAGUUCAGGAACUUAAAUUUCAUCGCUUGUUCUAUAAGUCUACAGUUUUCCAUAAUACCUCAAUGACAACAAUGUUUUCCUGGUAAUUUUGUUGUUGUAAAAUCUCUGAGGUGAAUUUAUGCAACUGCAGCAUCAAGGCAGCAACUGUCUCUAUUAACUGCUAAAUUAAACUUUUUUCCUUAAAAGGGUCCUACGAAAGAAUGUUGCAUUUCCAACUGGAAAUGAUACCUCCGUACAAUCCGAUAUCUGAACAUGGGAUAAUUUCAUCUCUUCUUUUUCCUUACCUGAGCAAUAUCUUGGUCUUGCAUGCUCAUGUAGGCUGGAAACAUAUGCUGUGCUAGCAGCAACUAAUUUAGGAGAAAGAAAAAAGCAAGACGUUUAUAAAAGAGAAUAUCUUGAUUUGAUUUGCUUUGCUUUUGCAGAAAUUAAGUGAGAGAAUCAGAUCGACAUGGUUUUGUUAGCUUGUCUUGCACAUAGAAAAGAAGGAAAAAGAAAAAAGAAAUUUGCGGCAGGUGUGGAGCAUGUUGUGGUAAAUCCAUAUCAGCGAGUUGUUCCACUUUGCUGUUUAAUCUCUCUAAGAUGGUGUCACUUAUGUUCCUGGAUUGCUGUGCGGUUGAACCACCUAGUAAGCUUGGGUGAAUGUCACUGAUGAUCAUGGAAGCAUCCAUUCCCAUUGUUUCAGCAAGGUUUUGCACCACCUUUAUGUAAUCUUCUACUUUCCGGAGUCUAUCAUUCUUUCAGAGUGAAGAAUGGGUGAAAAUUAAUUGGAUGAUAUAUAGAAGAAAACCGACGCUACCAAGGUUAAAGCUACCUUCUCUUUAUGAAGUCUUUGGAGUUCAUUUUGGUGCUCAUCAAGCUUUUUAAGUGAGAGAUCUCCUUCGUUUACCAGAACAUCGCAAUCCGGUUGAUGACCUGCUACUUCAGAAGCAAUUCUUUGGAUUUGUGUCUGAACCUCCCGGAAUUGGUUCAUCCGCUCUUCUUUCCUUAGCUGCAUUUCAUGAAGUGCAGGAGUGAUUGCAUCAAGCUGCUGCUUCAGUGUACCUGUCAAUUUUUCAGGCUGCUCCAAGAGAAUUUAAGCUGGCUGCACAUUUGGUGCUAUUCUUUUCUUAUUAAAUAUACUAUCAAAAGAAGUCAUCUAUAUCUCACCCGGCCUGAGAAUGAUCGUUCCCCGAGGGACAGGAGAAGGUUAGUGAACUCAGCUUCUGAAUCAGCCAGUGCUUGAUGCAGACGAACUCUCAAGAUAUUUGCACUAUCAACUUUUCUUCUAUACAUGUCGAUACAUUCCUGUUCCAGUUCAAGCAGAAUCCUCUCUCUUUCAAGCUGAUCUUGCCCCACUUCAUCCCAAAUCAGCUGUUAGCAGUUGAUAAAAUGUUCAAAGAAAGUUCAGCUAGUAUCAAUUUCAAGAACCACUGAUAUGGAAAAACCCCAACCCAAACCUUUAGCUCUUGCAGUAGAUAGCCGCAGGAUGAUUCAGGGAUUGCUGAACUUGGGAAACCGGGAAACAUUCCGAAGGAUCCCAUCUCAUAAAUUCUGGAACAGUCUCAGGGAACAGUUUUGUCAAUGUAAGUUCUUCAAGUGGUUGUAAAACAGAGCAGAUUCCCCUGAUCAAGCAUUAUUCAAGGAAGAAAUUAGAGGUGUGGUAUAAAAGGAGGAGAAAGGUGGCAAAGCUGUGAUGGAUGGUGAAAGUGGCCUUCCAAGUUGGUUUUGCUUUGAAGACACGCAGCACAACAGUGAUGGUUCCUUUGAUGAGCUUCAAAGAAAAAUAAUUAUAUAUAUAUAUAUAUAUAUAUAUAUCAAAUACAAGUGCACAAGCUCGCUGGUUCCCUUGUUUUUGAAGGGCCAAUCUUCCUCACUGCUUUCAAUUGUUGACAUAUCGUGUUACUGGAAGCUUCCAUCUGAAGGUUAAUGUGUUGGUAAAGCUUUACAAAUGUUUGUCUUCUUUUCCAAGGGAACAUAUGGGUUGGCACAGAAGUGGAUCAGCUCCAUUUACUCGAGUCUCUGGAAUCAGCUGAUUUGCUUGUGAAGAAUGUCAUGCACUAGUUUGCUUCAAGAAAUGCCAAUCACUCCAUCAUUGAUGAGACUCGAAUGACAAUACCCACUUUAUUGCUUGUGAUAUGCCUGUGUUUGCACAUGCUCAGCGCAGCCAAAGUUGAGAUUCAUUGUAAAAUUGGUAUAUUUAAACAAAAAAAAAAAAGAAGAAAAUGUUACAUGUAUGGGUUGAAUAAUUAUGCACAGAGCUAGCUGAUAUAUCAGACAUCUCCUCGGUCGUUGGAAAGAUGCGGUUUGCAGUGAAAAGAAGAAUUAUCCUUGUAAUCCUUUGAGAGAACCAUCGAAAUGAUUUGGCCUCAAAAUACAUGAGCCGUCCUAUGAGAGGCAAAUAAUUGAGUUAAAAAGUCUGUUGCUUGCGAGAUGGAAUAUUGUGGCCUUUAAACACUCUCCAGUUGAUGUGAUGGUAAACUU
This is a long non-coding RNA of Musa acuminata AAA Group (dessert banana), 2611 nucleotides long. RefSeq lists it as uncharacterized. The record is from RefSeq and is a predicted model, not a curated record. The transcript is spliced from 3 exons. NCBI's taxonomy places the organism in Eukaryota, Viridiplantae, Streptophyta, Magnoliopsida, Zingiberales, Musaceae.